RNAcentral lists this long non-coding RNA (253 nucleotides) under Elaeis guineensis (African oil palm). Its description in RNAcentral is "long non-coding RNA (EGUI_LNC052065)". Lineage: Eukaryota; Viridiplantae; Streptophyta; Magnoliopsida; Arecales; Arecaceae. The record is from RNAcentral.
UAGACUUCCUUUCCCUACCUUUCUUCUCUCCUUGUCUUCCUUAUAUCUCUUUCUAGGCUUUUAUCUUAAAAUCGGACUUGUCCUUACUAUUUUUGGACUAGUCCUAAUAAGAGAAGGAAGAGACUAAUUGGAUGAUAGGAAGAGUGUGUAAGAAAGAAGAGAUAGGAAUGAAAGAUCUGAAUGAAACAAAUCCCUCGCACAACCCCUUUAAAUAGUUAGUGAUGGGAUGCCUAUGGAUUUGUCUCGCACCCUC